UUAUUGGAGAGUUUGAUCCUGGCUCAGGACGAACGCUGGCGGCGUGCCUAAUACAUGCAAGUCGAGCGGACUUUUGGGAGCUUGCUCCCAAAAGU
This 95-nucleotide ribosomal RNA is filed under the name Bacillus benzoevorans. RNAcentral describes it as "Bacterial small subunit ribosomal RNA". It matches the Rfam family "Bacterial small subunit ribosomal RNA", at positions 1 to 93 of the family's 1533-position model. Lineage: Bacteria; Bacillati; Bacillota; Bacilli; Caryophanales; Bacillaceae. The record is from Rfam by way of RNAcentral.